This 301-nucleotide ribosomal RNA is filed under the name uncultured bacterium. RNAcentral's name for it is "partial 16S ribosomal RNA". It matches the Rfam family "Bacterial small subunit ribosomal RNA", at positions 509 to 807 of the family's 1533-position model. The record is from RNAcentral.
CAGUAGCCGCGGUAAUACGGAAGGUCCAGGCGUUAUCCGGAUUUAUUGGGUUUAAAGGGAGUGUAGGCGGUCUGUUAAGCGUGUUGUGAAAUUUAGGUGCUCAACAUCUAACUUGCAGCGCGAACUGGCGGACUUGAGUGCACGCAACGUAUGCGGAAUUCAUGGUGUAGCGGUGAAAUGCUUAGAUAUCACGACGAACUCCGAUUGCGAAGGCAGCGUACGGGAGUGUUACUGACGCUUAAGCUCGAAGGUGCGGGUAUCGAACAGGAUUAGAGACCCGUGUAGUCCCUGUCUCUUAUAC